CGCUGCCCGGCUGUUUAUGUCACUUUAGAGUUGGUCCCCGGUCACCUUCGAAGGGGACAGAAGGUCAACGGGAAACAUUUUUCAUUUCUGAGAUCCUGUUUACCCAAACUAAUUUGUUCCUUCUUGCAAAUUUCAGGACACUCGGAAAAAUGAACAGUGAAUUUUCAUAGACACCCCUUUUUUCUACGCUGCUUUUCCUGUCUCCUACAAUCUCGUUUUCUUUUUUAUUUGUUUAUUUAGAAAAAGCAGCCGUAAGGUCCGCAUCAGAGAUCCUCGUCUCAUGAUGAUAUCGAUUGCAAAAUCGAACGCAUAAUUACGGGCAGUUAGAACAAUUAACUUUGUUUUCUGGAUUCGUGGAUGAUAGUCUUAUUUCUGGCAGUAAACUCCACGUUGGUGAGGGCCUGAAUUUUGAGGACAGGGCAGUGCUUUUGUUACAUGCAACUGAGGUCACACGGGCCCUGGAUGGCACAACAUUGUCCAGCACUGCCAGAAACACAAAGGAGGGAGCGAAGAAGAUGUCUGAGAAAGCGGAGAGGAGAAAAGACUCUGUUCGGCUGAAGGUUGAGUCAUUGGGCAAGGUUACCGAUUAAAGAGGGCAGUGCACGUUUACAGAGAACCAGGAGGCCCUGUGACGUCAGUCUCGAACUUCCGAAGAAGCAAACGAUCCUGUCUCUGCAGCUCUGAACCAGAAUGAUGUCACAGGCAUUUACAGGCAACACAUUAACUGACCUGAGAUGGUGCUGUUUUAAAGGGGUAUUUCUCUGACGUGUGAAUACCUUGCAAUCACAACAUAUUAUGUUGGUUUAACUUCAAAAACACUUGGUUCCCCACCAAUGCACAGCACUAACACCUGGAACAACAGCACACAGAAUUUCAACAAACCUGCGGAGUUUGAACAUAACAAAUCAUUUGGCCAUAUUUAUUUACACUUAGAAAUGGUCAAUGGAAGUAAGUAUGCAUUAAGUAUUUGUUCUGCAAUGUAAUGAUGUUUCUUUGUGGGAUUCAGAAAAAACAACAUUAAA
Long non-coding RNA from Paramormyrops kingsleyae, 1022 nucleotides. RefSeq lists it as uncharacterized. NCBI's taxonomy places the organism in Eukaryota, Metazoa, Chordata, Actinopteri, Osteoglossiformes, Mormyridae. The record is from RefSeq and is a predicted model, not a curated record.